GACGGGGGAUGUAAGCGUUAUCAGGAAUCACUGGGCGUAAAGCGUCUGUAGGUGGUGAUGCAAGUCACUGGUGCAAAACUCUGGCUCAACCGGAGGAAAUGCAGUGAAACUGCAUGACUAGAGUGUGGGAGAGGUAGAAGGAAUUACCUGAGUAGCGGUGAAAUGCGUAGAUACAGGGAAGAACACCGGAGGCGAAAGCGUUCGACUGGGACACAACUGACACUGAUAGACGAAAGCUAGUGGAGCGAAUGGG
Molecule: ribosomal RNA, 253 nt
Filed under: uncultured bacterium
Lineage: Bacteria
Description: partial 16S ribosomal RNA
Rfam family: Bacterial small subunit ribosomal RNA
Source: RNAcentral